UUAAUUGAAACCAAAAUAGAGGUAAAUCACUGUUAAUGAUUAAAUUAGAAUUUUUCUCAAUUAAA
Molecule: transfer RNA, 65 nt
Filed under: Teredus cylindricus
Lineage: Eukaryota; Metazoa; Arthropoda; Insecta; Coleoptera; Bothrideridae
Description: tRNA-Asn
Source: RNAcentral